This is a non-coding RNA of Paramuricea clavata, 1230 nucleotides long. Lineage: Eukaryota; Metazoa; Cnidaria; Anthozoa; Malacalcyonacea; Plexauridae. The record is from the annotation of a GenBank genome assembly.
GCCUGUAUUAAAAUAUUCUAUUAAACUCAACCAAGCAUGAAUAUUAAUACUCCUACAGGUGAAAAAGGUAUCGAAUUUCUCAGGAGAUAAACAUAUUAAUCAGUUUUGCAGGACAUGUUAGUAAUACAUGCCCAAGCAUGUAUUGACUUUAAUAGAAUAUUUUAAUACAGGCUAUAAUUAGCUUACAGCAAUGUUUAUUUCCCAAACCGGUUUGACAUAUUUUUACAAAUGGCCAAUCACGUGCGAAAUUCAAAUUCUGAACCUAAUCAAGUGUGGAAGUGGGAUUUGCAAUCGAUGUCACCCUGGGCCUUACACAGCGGAGGAGAGGGGACGGCAGGGGGAAACUGCCUUCCUUAGAUUGUCAUUAUUAAUUAUACUUUGCAUAUUUUGGACUUUUUUCAACAUAUAAGCCUUACUGCCCCCUUGGUGAUACGGCCCUGAUGUGACCAGAGGCUCUCCGUUCUCACAUCUUGUUUCUUUCACCUUGCAAAGAGCCUCUGGAACCAGGGUACUCUUAAAGUAACACACAGACAGAGCAAAUAAUAUAAUGCUUUUAAAAAUCUUCAAUUUCAAAAGAGGCAGUAAAUUGGUAGGGAAAUCUUUCAAUAAUAUCCUGUGGUUAUGGUAAACUAUGUACCGGUACCAGACAAUAUAAAUCCCUGCCUGCUCAAAUCUAGGAAGUGUGGGGGCCAUUGGGCAAAGCAGGGUCACUGAGGGCCUGUUUAUAUGAUCCUGCCUAGACGAAAUGUUUUCAUCCCGCCUAGAUGGGAAAUUCGCCUAAUGUUUAUAUGGACAAAAUACAUUGCCUGGAUGAAGCCAUUUAAGUGAGCUUGACGUCAUAUUUUUGUUGCAAUAAAGGCAUUUACGCAUGCUCAAAAGGGAAAAGUUCAUCCCACCUAGCUGGGAUGAAGUGUUUAUAUGGGAAUUUUUCGUUCCAGCUAGGCGGGAUGAAGUGUUUGUAUGGGAAUUUUUCAUCUCGUUUAGGCGGGAUCCUGGCAUCUGUUGCCGAGAUCACGCCUAGGCAGGAUAAGUGGCAGGAUCAUAUAAACACUCUUUAGAAUUUGUAUUAUGAGCGGGAUCUCGGUAAGCACCCCGUCCGCCUGGCCGGGAUCAUACAUAUAUAAACAGGCCCUGAGACAAAACCAGAUAUUUACACAUUCCAGCAAUUUUGAUUAUGCAGUGCUGGCUGCUGAGAAGUAAAAACUGGCAACUUCUGGGUUGGGGGAGGUG